AGCUAAACCAACAGAAAACAUUAUGUUUUGAAACCAUAAAACAGAGGUUAAAUUCCUCUUUUAGCUU
This 67-nucleotide transfer RNA is filed under the name Perisphaerus sp. 2 ZQW-2023b. RNAcentral's name for it is "tRNA-Ser". Lineage: Eukaryota; Metazoa; Arthropoda; Insecta; Blattodea; Blaberidae. The record is from RNAcentral.